AAUGCUUGGACAUACAGUGUAUUUCAGGUGGCAUUCUACAACACCUGAUCAUUAACAGAGAUUAUAAUAGGUAGUGUUCUCCAACGGAGGCAGAAAUUGGGACGCCUAGACUCCCAUAGUCAAAGCCAUGAGCGAGACAGUGUUUCCGAGGUGAGAGAUGGGGCUAGGGUGGAUUCCCUGAUUGGGAGGGACAAGCCACUUGAGGACAGUGGCGGGGGUGGCCCGGGAUGGAGGCAGAUCCACGCAGCUGGGAGCGUAGCCGGAGCUUACUGUGUGGGGAAUGGGAAACGUCCAAAGAGGCCAGGCCCACCGGCCUCCUCGUGGGGAGCGAUGGGUUCUUGGGGCUCCUCCCUGGCGUGUCAGUCCCCGUCUUCUCCGUGGGGCUUUUGGCUGGAACCAGCCUCCUUUCCACAUUUUCCUUGCUGGUGUUGGCCGCCUUGCCAGGCAUGGACAACAUGGAGUCCGCGUGAUCUUUGCCUUUUGUCAUGGCGCUGAUGUAGUGCACAAAGAAUUUCAUCUUACUCACCAAGCCAGACUCUGGAAGGCUGGGCCUCUUGUGAGAAUGGGCUGGCGUCACCUGCCCCUGCAAAACCCGACUUUGCAAGGUUUGGCCCUUGAAAGGCUUGUGCGGAGUCGGUUGGCCCGGGAAAGGCUGGCCCUGGGAAGCCUGGCCCACUGCAGGAUGGAAAUUCUCAGGAACCUUCGCAGUUCCCAUGAAUGCCAGCUUCCUUGAGGCUUGGAGAAGAGUGCGCUCGUGCUGCCCGGAACACCCGCGGCACUCGAGCCGUCUGGAGGUGAUCGGACCGGUGCUCUGGGACGCUCGCGCCGCCAGUUGACUGCGAAGCUGACUGAGUUAAAUAUUUCUGAUCUGUUAAUUGCCACAGUGUGGGGCCAGAUGUCCAUAAAAGCUCUCUGGAGUCCUGGAAAACCAGCUUCCGACUCCGUCCGAAAGGCACACUUGCUGGGGACAGCAUUCCUAGAGGAGAGGAGCUCUGGAAUGGUUUCGAGAAAGUGGGAGAGAUCUGGUUGUUUCUACCCACAAGCAACUGCUGAAUCUCCAGAGCCGUAGCGUUGCAGAUACGGCAGGAGGGAUCUGCACACAGAAGCCGCCGCACACUUCCUUCCUGGGGAAGCCACUCCUGACUGAAAGGAAAGGCGGAAAACAUUAAUGAGGGGGGACAUCUCCCUCCGUGGAAGAACGUGGCCUGGGGAUUCCUGCCUCUCACCUCAGGUCCUGCAAGCCCUGGCCCUACAUUCACUGUGGAAACAGGUCCUUGUGGAAACCCUUAAGAACACGGGGUAUCCCUGCCAUGGCACUCUGCAUCCAUGGGGAAUCAGCCCCUCUCUAGAAAUCCUGAGGCAGAGAUAAGAUCAUGGGCUGCUGUGCGCGAGUGUCCCUGGCACUGGCCUCCCUGAAGACAGACCAGCGGAGGUGGCAUCAGCAAGGUCCUGCAGACCCAGGUCUCUAGCCCUGAGCCUGUGGCUAUAAGGAGUGCACGACAAUGAUGAUUUGUUCAGCAAAGUACAUUAUUUUGCGGGGGAGAGGGUACUGGGGAUUAUCCUCAGGGCCUUCGCACUGAGCUGCAUACCCAGCCCCAGUUUUACAUUUUUUUUAAAAAAUAGGGUCUCACUAAGUUGCCCUAGAGUAGUUCAAACUUGUGAUCUUCACAGAGUGCUGGAAUUGCAGGCGUGCACCACCUCACCCAGCCAAAACCGAUUCUCGUGGCUAGGUAAUCUGCUUCAUGGCUGAGUGUUGCCCUAUAUAAUGCCUCUUAUUAACAAUAUACAGGCAGGGGCUGGGGAUUUAGCUCAGCGGCACAGUGCCUGCAUGGCAAGCGCGAGGCCGUGAGUUCAAUUCCCGGUACCGGAAAAAAUAAAAAAAUAAAAUAUACAGGCAAAAUCUUGAACUGUAGAACUACCGCGACCCUGGCACAGUGCAGAACUGAGUGGUUCUUCCCUCUUGAGGUGUCUAAGCCACCCUAUGCCCCGACAACGCGAUCCCUGAAAAGCCUCAGUUUACGUCUCACUGCCAGUCACGAACCCUUACUACUCAUCUCUGCCCUGGGGACAGGCCAGGAGCUCGUAGUGCAGGCCUGGGGCUGGGAGACGAGAGAGCAAAAGCAGUCACCUUUCCAUGAGAGACACUAGCUUCUGCAGCCUCUCAGCUUCUUUCUGGGAGGAUCCCUUAGCUGAGGAACAAGAGAUCAUGGUGAGCAGACAGUGGAGGAUUCGGGGACAUCCGCAGACAGCUGAAGGUCUUUGAAUGAGAGGAAAGGGGAAACCCAGGAACUAACCCCUGUGUUACACGUGUGUACACUUGGUCAUUUACCACGUGUUGCUGACACCUAAUCUCGCUUGAACUCUACCCCAGCUGGGGGUGAGGCAGGGUCACUGGUGCCGCGGCCAGUCUCAGGGAGAGCAAGCCUGAGAGAUGAAGCGACUUCCGGGGGAUGUAACCCUAGCAAACCACACAGUUAUGACGUCUGCUCUACUUCCUCAUUCUUCAUUCUCAGGGAGAGAAUUUGGAAUGUUCCUGCCUCUGAUUUCCCACCCACGUGAGUCUUCUGUCAGCAUCGUCUUCAGGGAUGUUAUAGGCUUCAGCAGGGAGAGCACCCGCUCUGGCACCGCUCUCAGGGUCCGGCCAGUAUCUUGGGAACCUCAUGCCCGCCGAAUGGCUCUGAGGAGGGGCUGAACUUUACCUCUCAAUGUUGCCUCUCCGGACCUCUGUUUGACUCUUUGGUGAUGCUUAAAGACAAAAACAUUAGAAUGUGAAGCUGGGUCAUGGUUUCCUUAUGUGUAAAAUUAUACAAAACCUAUAAAAGUUUCCUGAUCUUUUUUUCUAUUCCAGUUUUAAACUUUGCUACCUUCUUCAUAUCCUAUCCUGUUCACACCAGCCUUUCCUUCUCUGCUUAUCUCUGACUCACUGUGAGCUUCUUCCAUACUUUAUACCUUGCACGCUUGUUCCAUGGACAAAGUCUAUAGGGAAUUCUA
Molecule: long non-coding RNA, 2991 nt
Organism: Chinchilla lanigera (long-tailed chinchilla)
Lineage: Eukaryota; Metazoa; Chordata; Mammalia; Rodentia; Chinchillidae
Source: Ensembl